CGCCAUGAAAGUCCCGGCUCCGCACUCAGCAUUAGGGCACUCUUUCCUCAGCCUCUGGACCUUCCCAGAAUCAUCAACCUUGUAGAACUGAAGCACCGCGAGCUUGACCUUCUUCUUCUUGUGCUUGAUCUUCUUUGGCUUGGUGUAGGUCUUCUUCUUACGCUUCUUGGCGCCACCACGGAGGCGAAGCACAAGGUGGAGGGUCGAUUCCUUCUGGAUGUUGUAAUCGGCUAGGGUUCGGCCGUCCUCGAGCUGCUUGCCGGCGAAGAUGAGGCGCUGCUGGUCUGGGGGAAUGCCCUCCUUGUCUUGG
This 310-nucleotide long non-coding RNA is filed under the name Prunus persica (peach). RNAcentral describes it as "long non-coding RNA (PPER_LNC001212)". Lineage: Eukaryota; Viridiplantae; Streptophyta; Magnoliopsida; Rosales; Rosaceae. The record is from RNAcentral.